Molecule: transfer RNA, 78 nt
Filed under: Metallosphaera sedula
Lineage: Archaea; Thermoproteati; Thermoproteota; Thermoprotei; Sulfolobales; Sulfolobaceae
Also listed under: 4 other names
Description: tRNA-Met (CAT) (tRNA-Met-CAT-1-1)
Rfam family: tRNA
About the family: Transfer RNA (tRNA) molecules are approximately 80 nucleotides in length. Their secondary structure includes four short double-helical elements and three loops (D, anti-codon, and T loops).
Source: RNAcentral
GCCGCCGUAGCUCAGCCUGGCCAGAGCGCCGGACUCAUAAUCCGGUCGUCCGGGGUUCAAAUCCCCGCGGCGGCACCA